UCUCCCCCCAACUGAAUUGGAUCAGUGCCAAAGAUCUACAUCGGCGAAGACAAGAGUUUGUACUUGGAAUGGGGGGCGGAAAGGUGAUACGAUACGAUCUCCCCCUGCCCUGCCCAGCCGCGUGUUCCCCAACUUGAUUUACCUAAACAGAGCGUACACGCUUCCGUCUUUCUCUACAACUCGCUCGCACUAUAAAUAUUGCAUCAUGCACCACGCUGCUUGCAAAAUGGAUUCCUAGCUUAGCAUGUGGCUGAGCGGCUAAGCACAUGGACAGCCGGUGUUCAGGUUCCUAGACGGCAGCUCGGUUGGACGACAAGAACCGAACUUGGGAGGGCUCGGAUCUCCACCGAGAGAAAACUCAGGGCGGUCCAGAGCGCCGCGUGUUCCGUAUCCUCCCGGGGCAAUCGCGAGCUCUCUUGUGCCGGGCAUCGGAGCAAGGUUAUACCACCAAAAGCUUGGCUCCAGAGAGAGGCCGAAGAGGAAAGGAAAAGACAGCGAAGGGAAACGUCGUCUGUUNCCAAGGAUUACUCACCCGGUACGCGUCUGAAUCCGGCGAGAAUCCCCUGUACAAGCGAGGUACGGGCAGCAGCGAGGGGAAAGGCUGAGAAGGNAAGAAAGAGGCGAAUGUAACGGAAAGGAAAGCGGCGUCCCUGCCCGAUGAGGUCUCUCGGGAAAAGGCAAAGCGCUCACAGUAGUAGUAGCGGCGACGGCAGCUGACUGGAUGAAACUGGCAAGACUGGAUACAUGGCAAGCCAAGCGGNCUCUCGUUUCCGUGGGCUACAGCCGCUCCCGCCCGUGCCGGGUUCCUCCCUCCCUGUAAUGAAUGAGAAAAGCCCGGGCGGGCGGGGAGGAGGAGGAGGCGAGGGCGGAGAAAGCAAGCGGCCGGGCGGGGCCAGGCGGGGCCAGGCAGUCACUCAAACGCCGCCGGCCGGUCUUCUCCUUCCUGUCCUGUGUCCUUUUCCAGACCCCGCCAGCUGCUGCUGCGGGGCGGCCGUCGUGGAGCAACGGGCGAGGGAGAGCGAGACCCGCAGCCCGACGGAGAUAGCAAAGAAGAACUCCGCCAGGGGUGGGCCACAUCUCGCUCGCAAUGCAGCCCGCUCUUGCCUUGCCACCUUCGCCGAGUCCGCGGGAAGGAGGGGGUGUCGCUCGCACGUUGGCGAAAUGCGCGCGCAAAAGCACUGCCCCCCCUCUAUAUUCGCGCCUAAGGUGUGUCUGAAAGGCAGGGCUGGUAGGGCCCCGCCUCGCAGUCCGGCUGUCUCUCCCCGGAGUCCUCGACCCCGCCCGCCUAGUUUACGCUCCGCCCUUUCUCUGGUCUUUUGCGCGCGCCGCGUAGGAGGCAGGUUGAAGGCUGGGCACUCGCGUCAGCAGGCAGGGAGUGAAGGAGGGGAAAACCAGCUGCUAGACGAGCAACAUAGACGAUCUGAAAUGAUGAAUUUGGCACACUUGAACUUCCAUCCUAUACUCCUAAGAUUUAUAUUUGUGCUGAUGCUGCUGGAGUCUAUAUAGAGAAGGAUUCCUAUAAAUUUAGUCAAAGGAGCAGUGCCAUGCGCUCGUUGGAAUCUUUCUGUCCCUUCAUCCUAUAGUACUGGAUAAAAGCACCCUGAUUUGGAAAACCUUUUAGUGUAAUUGUGNCUGAUAUCCCUAGUUUAAUGUCCUUUUUUUAAAAAAAAUGAAACAUCAAGAAAACCUUCUUUGCAAGCAGAAUUCUAAAGAAAUUAUGCAUCCCUGCAUGGUCUUGAUUAAGGUUGUAUAUAUGUAUGUGUAUAUGUAUGUAUGUAUUUGCAUUUGUUUACCACUCUUCACCCUGAGGUCCCAGAGUGGUUUACAUAACAAACUAAGGACAUUCCACNUAAAACACAUUCACUUAACAUGAGGCCAGGUCACCACUGUGAGCUGGUGGAGGAUUUUCCCACCUUGCUCUUUCUCCUCUGCAAUCCCAAAAAGCAAGGUGAUAAAAGUUUUCUUUAUCUGGAGUGUAUGUGUAUAUUUUUAGCUUAUUUUAUAAUUCAGGAUUUAAACAGUUCGAAUGAUUGGCUUUUAUCAAUACUGGGGGACUGCAUUAUACACAUUCAAAUGAUUUAGUUAUAUAGCAAAUGUAUAUGUGCCAAGAACAUGAGAAAAGCAACACCUACAUUGCUGCAAUAAAGUCUUCACCAUACACCGAAAUAGAACUAUC
This 2176-nucleotide long non-coding RNA is filed under the name Salvator merianae (Argentine black and white tegu). RNAcentral's name for it is "lncRNA (ENSSMRG00000013109.1)". The record is from RNAcentral. Lineage: Eukaryota; Metazoa; Chordata; Lepidosauria; Squamata; Teiidae.